AUUGACGGAAGCUGUAUCCGUUAAUCCUUUGAUGGCAUAAUAACCUUCUUCUUUACAGUUAUUAAAAGUGAGAUUUUUGUAUUCCAUUGAUUUUUAUCCUAACUCAGAGGAUAGAAUUUGUCAGUAGUGGCAUUUCUGAGAUGAAAGAAGUGGGCCCUGCCAUUGAACAGAAUUUAUGCAUUUAAAAAUUCAUUAUUUCUGUGAAAAAGAGAAGAAAGCACCAUCCGCGGAAAGAUUCUGAUGCUAACAUCAGUCAAUUGUUGUGGAAGCUGACCUAGAAUGAACCAUUGCUUCUUUUUCUACCGUCUAUUCUGGAAAUUAUUAACAGAUUCCCGAGCCACAAGUUGAGAAAACACUGGGAGGUUGUUUAUUCUGAUCUGGAUUUUUAGAGAUGCAAAUGCAGCAAAGGAGUUAUGAACAUAAUGAAGGGAAUCAUAGUAUUUUAACCAGCCAUCUGUACAUCAAGGCCUCAUUGUGUCUUCCUGAAAAAAGUUGAAGGGACUUAAAAGCAGAACCAAGGCUUCCCUGAAGAAGAGGAAAUUCCACCUGUGAACAGCAGCUUCAAUCCAUUCCUAAAGUGCCAGCCUGCCCUGUGGAUUUUGAAGUUACCUAGGCAGGUCCCACAACUGAGUGAGCCUGCAUGGCAUAGUGAGCCUGCAACUGUGAACUCGGGAAAUCCUGUACCUUCCCGUGCAGUCGCUCCCCAGCCAUGCAGGUAUUUCCAGAGCCUGGAGAUCCCAGACUACCUUUCAAAAGAGUGAAUUCCAGACCCAGAGAGGCCCCUGGAGGAGAUUCAUGGCAAGCAGCCAUAUGAAAUAACAGAAGCCCCAGAGAGGAGAAGCGAUUUCCUGCCUAAGUUGUCCAUCUGUCAGUGGCAAAGCUAGGACUGGAACUCAGGAUUCUCCAUCCCUCUUCCCAAACCUGGCACUAUCUUCCUGGCUUUCUGGGUCUGGAGUCCCAUGCUAGAGGCCCUCUGUUUCCAGAGCAGGGCUCAUUGAAUAUGUGUGCUCUUUCUACUCAAGUGCUUCAAGGAUCCUUCCUGGAAAGGACCCAGGCAUAAAUUCUUGAAGAGUUGAUCUGAGUGACAGACUCCCAUGCUAUGCCAAGAAUGGCCUCUUAUUUCCCAAUGAUUGAGACCUUUUAUUUGAUCAAUCUCAUGUGCUUACUGGACCCCAGUGAUACCUUCACAUACCUGACACCUCAGGGAAACACAGCUUCCGUUCAAGUCAAGAUCCUUGCUACACUGCAAACUCUUAUGAAACGUCUAGGAGAAUUUUCAGGCUCCUUUGUAUAUGGAAAAAGGUCAGAAUGAAGCUCCAAAUUCUUCAGCAUGUGUAAAAACUUAAGACAACUACAUUUUAUUUUUAUUUUUUAUUUUUUUCAUUGUUUUUUUUUGAGACAGCCUUGCUCUGUUGCCCAGGCUGGAGUGCAGUGGCACAAUCUCGGCUCAUUGCAACUUCCACCUCCUGGGUUCAAGCGAUUCUUGUGCCUCAGCCUCCCAAGUAGCUGGAAUUACAGGCAUGCACCACCAUUCCCAGCUAAUUUUUGUAUUUUUAAUAGAGAUGGGGUUUCACCAUGUUGGCCAGGCUGGUCUCGACCUCCUGACCUCAGGUGAUCCACUCGUCUUGGCCUCCCAAAGUGCUGGGAUUACAGGCAUGAGCCCCUGUGCCCGGCCAACAAGUACAUUUUAAAGCAACUUUAUUCUCAACUGAAUGACAUUUGAAUGACUUUCUUGCCCAUGUGGAUAUGGAUAAGGAUAUUUUGCCAAUAUUCUUGUUUGUGUUUGACUGUGAUGCUAUUGUUAUACAAAGAAUGGGCAGGUGGAGCUAAGCAGAAAGAGACAGUCGGGUACCUGUACCAUGGAAAAUGGAAGAGAGCCAAGCAGAGUGCAUCCUUAGGGGUCAGGGAGGUCAGUGCAAGCGGGGACAAAGCCCAGCUGAGUCGGUGAGCACUUCAUGGCAGACUGGUCAAAUUAUAUCUCUUGGACUAAGAUCUUCAUUAAAGGCCUGCACCUCAGAGACAUUUCAGCCUACCAAGGUGCAUCAUUAUGGAAGACUGGGCAUGAUAAUAGUAAUUUAAAUGAAGUUAAAAGAGCAGUCUAAAUUAGAACAGGUAUUCACAUUCCAACUUCUCUUUAGAAGAGCCUCUGUUGGAUAAAGAAAACUCGCUGAGUAAAAUAAAUCGAUUGGAGGUAAACUUUACCAGCCCUGGAGUGCAAGGUUUAGAAACAUGCACACAUCCCAUGGCGUUAGGGGUCCUGUUGUUUUCUUCCACGUCAUUUCAUCACAGAACAAUUUUCUACAGCAACCUGAUCUACCUUGUGGCCAAGUAAGGCAUGUGAGGGUUUUUGUUUUGUUUUGUUUUGAGACGGAGUCUCACUCUGUCGCCCAGGCUGUAGUGCACUGGCGUGAUCUCCGCUCACUGCAAGCUCCGCCUCCCGGGUUCGCGCCAUUCUCCUGCCUCAGCCUCCCAAGUAGCUGGGACUACAGGCGCCCGCCACCAUGCCUGGCUAAUUUUCUGUAUUUUUAUUACAGUCGGGAUUUCACCAUGUUAGCCAGGAUGGUCUCGAUCUCCUGACCUCGUGAUCCGCCCAUCUCGGCCUACCAAAGUGCUGGGAUUACAGGUGUGAGCCACCGCUCCCAGCCAGGCAUGUGAGAGUUUUAAAUCAAAUGUUACCUUGUCCCUAUUAGCCUUAUCACUGCUAAAUAUCUACAUGGUUCCCUGUUAAGGAGAGUUUCUAAAUGACUCUCUUGAGAAAUCCUGGAUAAAUGGGAAAUGGAGCAUUUUUCCUGCCUCUAAGCUUUGCUCCACUGCAAUCUUUCACACGCUAUGUACCCAGAGGGUGACUGCCAGAUAGCUUAUUGGAGAAAGGAAGGAGGAAAGGGUCAUUUUCUUCCUGCACUUUCUAACACCCAACAGAGGAAAUGCACAGCAUAGGUGUGUGGGAGUUUGGCUGACUUAUGGUAAAAAAUAAACAUGGUUUCCUGUU
Pongo pygmaeus (Bornean orangutan) is the source of this 2989-nucleotide long non-coding RNA. RefSeq lists it as uncharacterized. The record is from RefSeq and is a predicted model, not a curated record. The transcript has 6 exons. NCBI's taxonomy places the organism in Eukaryota, Metazoa, Chordata, Mammalia, Primates, Hominidae.